CCAACAGGGAUUGCCCCAGUAACGGCGAGUGAAGCGGCAGCAGCUCAAAUUUGAAAUCUGGUCCCUCCGGGGCCCGAGUUGUAGUUUGUAGAGGAUGCUUCGGGUGCGGUGCCGGUCUAAGUUCCUUGGAACAGGACGUCAUAGAGGGUGAGAAUCCCGUAUGUGACUGGCGACCAAGCCUAUGUGAAGCUCCUUCGACGAGUCGAGUUGUUUGGGAAUGCAGCUCUAAAUGGGUGGUAAAUUUCAUCUAAAGCUAAAUACCGGCCAGAGACCGAUAGCGCACAAGUAGAGUGAUCGAAAGAUGAAAAGCACUUUGGAAAGAGAGUUAAAAAGUACGUGAAAUUGUUGAAAGGGAAGCGCUUGCGACCAGACUUGCCCGCGGGUGAUCAGCCGUUAUUUUUACCGGUGCACUCGCCCGUGGCCAGGCCAGCAUCGGUUCGGGCGGUUGGAUAAAGGCCCGGGGAAUGUAGCUCCCUCCGGGGAGUGUUAUAGCCCGGGGUGCAAUGCGGCCAGCCUGGACCGAGGACCGCGCUCCGGCUAGGAUGCUGGCGUAAUGGUUGCAAGCGACCCGUCUUGAAACACGGACCAAGGAGUCUAACAUCUAUGCGAGUGUUUGGGUGUCAAACCCAUGCGCGCAAUGAAAGUGAACGGAGGUGGGAACCUUUCAGGGCGCACCAUCGACCGAUCCUGAUGUCUUCGGAUGGAUUUGAGUAAGAGCAUAGCCGUUGGGACCCGAAAGAUGGUGAACUAUGCGUGGAUAGGGUGAAGCCAGAGGAAACUCUGGUGGAGGCUCGCAGCGGUUCUGACGUGCAAAUCGAUCGUCAAAUCUGCGUAUAGGGGCGAAAGACUAAUCGAACCAUCUAAACCCGCCUAACUACUAGAUGGGAUACGGGCCUGAAGCCCUGAAGUAGUCCCCGGGCGCGCACGGAGCGCCCGGGGGCGACACUGCCGGUCUAUCGGGGAAGCCUCCUGGCCACCCGCAGUGAGCCGCGGGCUCAUUCACAGACUAAGUGGCGGUGGCCGCUCCCCGGAACCUCGGGGUGCGGUUAGGAUAUAGUCGGACCCUCCCCGAACGGGAGGCGUUUUUUGAGUAGCUGGUUUCAGCCGAAGUUUCCCUCAGGAUAGCAGUAACGUUUUCAGUUUUAUGAGGUAAAGCGAAUGAUUAGAGGCCUUGGGGUUGAAACAACCUUAACCUAUUCUCAAACUUUAAAUAUGUAAGAAGUCCUUGUUGCUUAGUUGAACGUGGACAUUUGAAUGCACCGUUACUAGU
This 1270-nucleotide ribosomal RNA is filed under the name Ophioparma ventosa. RNAcentral describes it as "eukaryotic LSU rRNA". It matches the Rfam family "Eukaryotic large subunit ribosomal RNA", at positions 65 to 1127 of the family's 3401-position model. Lineage: Eukaryota; Fungi; Ascomycota; Lecanoromycetes; Umbilicariales; Ophioparmaceae. The record is from RNAcentral.